Molecule: unclassified non-coding RNA, 355 nt
Filed under: Hevea brasiliensis (rubber tree)
Lineage: Eukaryota; Viridiplantae; Streptophyta; Magnoliopsida; Malpighiales; Euphorbiaceae
Source: RNAcentral
UUCAUUAUUUUUUCCACCAUGGGUGAUUCUAGCGUCAAAACAACAUCCAAAUCUUCAAGUCUUGAAACACCAACUGCUUCAAAUCAUCAACCAGAUUUUUCAUCACCCUAUUUGUUAUAUAUGGGGCUUGAAUUUUAGAUAUAUAUAGACCCGAUUUGUUGAACCAGAUUUUAGAGACCAUAUGGAGUCGUGCUAUCACUGUGGCCUUUGAAGCUAAAAAUAAAUUAGGAUUUGUUGAUGGAAGAAUCAAAGGAUCCCAACUAAUAUAAGAAAUCCAAUUAAUAUAGAAAACCCAACUAAUAUGGGAAAUCAAGAUUCUGGGCUCUAAUAACUCUAGUCAUAAUAAGCCAUAAUA